RNAcentral lists this ribosomal RNA (312 nucleotides) under Triticum aestivum (bread wheat). Its description in RNAcentral is "partial small subunit ribosomal RNA". Lineage: Eukaryota; Viridiplantae; Streptophyta; Magnoliopsida; Poales; Poaceae. The record is from RNAcentral.
AUGAAGGUCAAGGAGAAGACAGCUCGAGGAUCAAACAGACAUCCAGAUAUAGUUGCAGACCCAAACAUUAACUCAUCUACAAGUUCAGAACAAAAUGUGGAGUUUGCCAGUCCAAAAGACCCAAACAUGAACUCAUCUACAAGUUCAAAACAAAAUGAGGGGCUUCCUAAGCCAAAAGGGGUGAAGUUGAAGGAGAAGACUAUUCAAGGAGCAAGUAGACCUGUUGGUGGCUUAGAGAAAGCAAAAUCAUCAAGGAAAAGGAAAGUAGAUGAUCAUGUAGCACUACAACCUCAUGGCACCUCAACGGUAUAA